UAAAUCGAGAGACUGUGCCUCUACCGCCAUCGCCGUCUCUUCGACGACGCCGGGCGAUCGGCCCCUACACCAAAGCCAUCCAGCAUUGGAAGACGUCAUCGAGGGCCACUCCUGCGGACACAGUCAUUACAUUCGUAAAGCUUGCGAGGCCAACAUUGGAGGCUGCUCGAUCGGUUCACUUGCAAACAAUGCCAUCUUAUCUGAGAAGAUCCAGGAACAUUCUUGUCCCAUCAAUUCAAGUCAACACUAGCUAAAAUUUUCCCACCAAUUUGAACAGCUACGCAAAUCUCUUAACUUCUUCUUCUUUCCAUCAACAGUGUAUUUAUUUAUGGUUUUGUUUCAUGCAAAUUGGCACCCAGCUCCAAUUCUCAUUUCACAGAACAUUUAGGAAAUAAUUCCUAAAUGUUGGUUAAGAUACAUGAUGAAAUCUUUGUGUGCCAAAUACACCGUACUAUUGCUUUUUUUUUUUUUUUUGCAAAAACAGAGCCUGAUGUAGAGUAUGGUUUUUUUAUGUGGUAUGGCAAUGAUUUUGUAUUGUGCAAUUACUGGAGAAUGAAUUCUCUCUCUUCAUGUC
Molecule: long non-coding RNA, 574 nt
Organism: Musa acuminata AAA Group (dessert banana)
Lineage: Eukaryota; Viridiplantae; Streptophyta; Magnoliopsida; Zingiberales; Musaceae
Exons: 2
Source: RefSeq, a predicted model, not a curated record